Molecule: transfer RNA, 76 nt
Filed under: Pedobacter sp.
Lineage: Bacteria; Pseudomonadati; Bacteroidota; Sphingobacteriia; Sphingobacteriales; Sphingobacteriaceae
Also listed under: 10 other names
Description: tRNA-Ala
Rfam family: tRNA
About the family: Transfer RNA (tRNA) molecules are approximately 80 nucleotides in length. Their secondary structure includes four short double-helical elements and three loops (D, anti-codon, and T loops).
Source: RNAcentral
GGGGGUGUAGCUCAGUUGGGAGAGCGCCUGCCUUGCACGCAGGAGGCCAUCGGUUCGAACCCGUUCACCUCCACCA